RNAcentral lists this transfer RNA (71 nucleotides) under Marmota monax (woodchuck). RNAcentral describes it as "tRNA.Val". The record is from RNAcentral. Lineage: Eukaryota; Metazoa; Chordata; Mammalia; Rodentia; Sciuridae.
GGGGUUGUGGCUCAGAGGCAGAGAGCAUGCCCAACAUGCGCGAUGCCCUGGGUUUGAUCCUCAGCACCCCA